UAAAUUAUGACAACAUCCUAAAAAAUCCGCAUACAAUACUCAAAUCUAGAUUUUAUCAAAUAAGAAAUUAAAAAUUCAACAAUAAAACAAAUAUACAAAAAUAUAUUAGUUUAGCACAAAUUAUUUCCAUUAUAGGCAAAAUCACUAUCACUAAUAUCAAUGCCUUUACUUCAUCUUUUAAUCAAUAAACAAGUAUUGUCAACAAUAUCAACAAGCAAGUUUUAAACAACUACUGUUAAUAUCAAAUUAAAUAAAUAAAAACCCAACUUUAGUAAGAAAUCAUUAGAUACAAGUCAUUAAAGCCAAAACAAACAAAAUCAAUCAAAUUAAAAUAAAGUAUUAGUAAUAUUAAAUUUGGAAAUUAUAAAAUUUCUACUUAUUAGAAGCUUCUUGUAUCUAUUUUAAUUCACACACACAUGCUGUAGUGAGAUAAGUUGGGUUUAGGAAUUAGAAAUUUCAUCUUACAUAUGUUUAUGAUUAAUUUUUUUUAUGAUAGGGUGGAUUUAGGAAUUAGGAAUUUCAACGUACACAUGUUUAUGAUUAAAAUUUUUAAUCUAAUUUUAGAGAUUAAAAUAAAAAUAUAAAUAAUUAAAAUAAAGAAUGUGGGUUAGCGGCUAAGUGGAUGCCCGUGUGCCUAUUCGAUGGAUUUUUUCUUAAUGGCAAACUCAUUUGCAACACGCAGCGGGUUUGAGUUUAAAACACUAUACUUGCUUAUAAACCUAUAAAAUUACCCGUAGCGGGCAUAUUUAAGUGAGUUCAUGGAUAAUUUUGCCAUUCCAAAUAUAAAUUAAAAGUGAUAAAUAUGAUAUAAAUUAUGCCCGUCAAUUAAGUUGACAUUUUCAAGCUCAAGAAUUACAUACAUACCAACAUACACCUAAAAUAAAUAAAUGACAUCAAAAUGUUACUCAAACUUCUAUUUUCUUACCUCAAUUAUUGGAGUUGACUUUUCAUACUCAAAUUCUCCAUAUUGUCGAUUGAUGUCAUCUUGCUACUUCCAACUUCGAGUUUUGGAGUGUCUUCAAUUGCGCUCUGUUUUUCUGUCUUAGCUAAGUCCUAAGAGUGGAAAUGGAAAAGUUGAGCUUUGCUUUGGUGCGAAAGUAAAGCUUAUAUUUUUAUACCACAAUUUUUUUUCCCCAUCUACAUCACACAUUUACUUGGAUAUAUAAGAAAAUAGGGGUUAGAUGAAAAUACAGAUGAUGAUCUUGAUGUUCUAUGUAUAAGAUACCCAUGUGGCUUUAUGUAUAAUGAUAGUUAUGAAAUUGUAUAAAUACCAUUUAUCCUUUUUUCCGUUUCAAUUACAGGAGAGAGAACAAUUUAUGGAGGGUAACUUGAGAUUUUUAAAAGUAAAGAAGUGAUUUAAAGAUUCUCAAUUUACGAAUGGGUAAUUCAAAAUUUAUAUUUAACUAGCCAUUCAAAAUUUAUAUUUAACUAG
Molecule: long non-coding RNA, 1432 nt
Filed under: Citrus x clementina
Lineage: Eukaryota; Viridiplantae; Streptophyta; Magnoliopsida; Sapindales; Rutaceae
Description: Citrus clementina (C. clementina) long non-coding RNA (CCLE_LNC000537)
Source: RNAcentral